RNAcentral lists this ribosomal RNA (1932 nucleotides) under Micromonospora parastrephiae. RNAcentral's name for it is "partial 23S ribosomal RNA". It matches the Rfam family "Bacterial large subunit ribosomal RNA", at positions 1 to 1767 of the family's 2925-position model. Lineage: Bacteria; Bacillati; Actinomycetota; Actinomycetes; Micromonosporales; Micromonosporaceae. The record is from RNAcentral.
GGUCAAGUUGUCAAGGGCGAACGGUGAAUGCCUUGGCACCAGGAGCCGAUGAAGGACGUGGGAGGCCGCGAUAGGCCUGGGGGAGCUGUCAACCAAGCUGUGAUCCCAGGGUGUCCGAAUGGGGAAACCUGGCACCAGUCAUGUGGUGUCACCCACACCUGAACACAUAGGGUGUGUGGAGGGAACGCGGGGAAGUGAAACAUCUCAGUACCCGUAGGAAGAGAAAACAAUUUAGUGAUUCCGUGAGUAGUGGCGAGCGAAAGCGGAUUGAGGCUAAACCGGCUGCGUGUGAUACCUGUCAGGGGUUGCGUGGUUGGGGUUGUGGGACCCUGCUGAACAAGCUGACACUUGUUCGAGAAGUUACAAAGUUGGUGGCUAGUCGAACAGUCUGGAAUGGCUGACCGUAGACGGUGAAAGUCCGGUAGGUGAAAGUUGCUGACCUUCUGUGGGUGUUCCCGAGUAGCGGCGGACCCCUGAAAUCUGCCGUGAAUCUGCCAGGACCACCUGGUAAGCCUAAAUACUUCCUGGUGACCGAUAGCGGACGAGUACCGUGAGGGAAUGGUGAAAAGUACCCCGGGAGGGGAGUGAAAUAGUACCUGAAACCGUUCGCCUACAAUCCGUCGGAGCCUUGCGGGGUGACGGCGUGCCUUUUGAAGAAUGAGCCUGCGAGUUAGUGGCAUGUGGCGAGGUUAACCCGUGUGGGGGAGCCGUAGCGAAAGCGAGUCUGAAUAGGGCGAUUCAGUCGCGUGUCCUAGACCCGAAGCGGAGUGAUCUAGCCAUGGGCAGGCUGAAGCGCGGGUAAGACCGCGUGGAGGGCCGAACCCACCAACGUUGAAAAGUUGGGGGAUGACCUGUGGUUAGGGGUGAAAGGCCAAUCAAACUCCGUGAUAGCUGGUUCUCCCCGAAAUGCAUUUAGGUGCAGCGUCGCGUGUUUCUUGCCGGAGGUAGAGCACUGGAUGGUCUAGGGGGCCCACAAGCUUACCGAAAUCAGCCAAACUCCGAAUGCCGGUAAGUGAGAGCGCGGCAGUGAGACUGCGGGGGAUAAGCUUCGUAGUCGAGAGGGAAACAGCCCAGAUCACCAGCUAAGGCCCCUAAGCGUGUGCUAAGUGGAAAAGGAUGUGGGGUCGCAUAGACAACCAGGAGGUUGGCUUAGAAGCAGCCACCCUUUAAAGAGUGCGUAAUAGCUCACUGGUCAAGUGGUUCCGCGCCGACAAUGUAGCGGGGCUCAAGCACACCGCCGAAGCUGUGGCAUUCACAUUUCAACCUCGCUUGGACUUGAUUCCUUGUGCAGGUGUGUGGAUGGGUAGGGGAGCGUCGUGCCGCGAGUGAAGCAGCGGGGUGACCCAGUUGUGGACGCGGCACGAGUGAGAAUGCAGGCAUGAGUAGCGUAAGAAGGGUGAGAAACCCUUCCGCCGGAUGACCAAGGGUUCCAGGGCCAGGCUAAUCCGCCCUGGGUGAGUCGGGACCUAAGGCGAGGCCGAGAGGCGUAGUCGAUGGACAACGGGUUGAUAUUCCCGUACCCGCGAAAGAGCGUCCCUGAUGAACCUCGUUGUGCUAACCACCCGAACUGCUGAGGGUCUUCGGAUCUGAUGUGGGGAGCGUGGGAACCUGGCGGGUAGUAGUCAAGCGAUGGGGUGACGCAGGAAGGUAGCUGAGCCCGGCCGGUGGUUGUGCCGGGGUAAGCGUGUAGGCCGUGUUGUAGGCAAAUCCGCAACACAUGAAGGCUGAGACGUGAUGCCGAGCCGAUUCAGGUGAAGUCAGUGAUCCUAUGCUGCCGAGAAAAGCCUCUAGCGAGUUCUUAGCGGCCCGUACCCCAAACCGACACAGGUGGUCAGGUAGAGAAUACCGAGGCGAUCGGGCGAACUGUGGUUAAGGAACUCGGCAAAUUGCCCCCGUAACUUAGGGAGAAGGGGGGCCGGAGACGUGAAGCCC